Molecule: long non-coding RNA, 9778 nt
Filed under: Olea europaea (common olive)
Lineage: Eukaryota; Viridiplantae; Streptophyta; Magnoliopsida; Lamiales; Oleaceae
Description: long non-coding RNA (OEUR_LNC008004)
Source: RNAcentral
GUAAGUAAAACCCAGUAUAUUUCUUGAGCAGAAAAACCCAGACUACCCAGUAUAUUCCAGUUGAUUCCACGGUAAAAACUGGAUAAGGAAAGUUUAAGCAAAAAAAAAAUAAAAUAAAAAAAAUCCAUUUAUUUGCAAGAUUUUAAUACAGAUACAUACUAUACAUACAUUAGAGAGAGAGAGAGAGAGAGAAGCGCAGAGAGAAAAAUCAGACAGCUUGUCCGAGUAGACUUGAGAGAGAGAAAGAGAUGGCAUCGUUCGACGCAUACAGCACGGACGGUGACGGUACGCGUCAGUUCGACGACGGCGGGUACACUGGCUACGACGAAUCAUACACCGCCUUUUCCCCUGCUGACACUCCGCCUUACUCUGCCGCCGCCGCCGGAGCUGGAGUUUACCCUCCAGAGUACGGAGAAUCGGAGGAGGUGGUAGUGGAUCACGUGGACAGCCCCGAUCCGUUCGGGUCCUCGACCACGGCCCCGAUCUCGAAUGGCAACGGGAAUCGGCCAUAUGAUAUGGGGGAAGAUUCGGAGGGAAUAUUCAACUCCGAUGGGCCGAUUCUUCCGCCUCACUCUGAAUUGCAGCCUGAAGAAGGAUUCGCUCUUCGCGAAUGGAGAAGGUCAGAUAUUUUUUGUUGAAUCUUGGUUAAUUUUGAUUUGGAUGAAGUUUCCCGUUGCCAACUUAUACAAACUUUAGAUCUGUUACUUAGUUUUUGUCUUGGAUUUCCAUUCAUUUUCUCGAGGACUUUUCAAAGACAGAUUUAAUAAUUUAGAGGAGAUUCUUGUUCUUUUUUAUCUUUAUAUUGAUAUGGAACCAAAUAGAAACUUUGAUUCGAAUUUCUUGAUUAUUACUCAGGUUUAUGGUCUGAAAUCAACUAUCUUUACGAUCAUAACAAGUGUAAACUUUUAGGGGUAGUUAUGUGGGAAAGGAAAAGGUAUUGGCCAUUUGAUGGUUGAGUAGUUGUUACUUAAGGAUAUAACUUGGAUUUCAUGGCACAUGAUUUAGGGUUCUUUGAACUGUUAAGGACUGGAGUUUGGUUUUUAUUUGGACAGAGAAAACAGAUCCACUCUGCGGUGCAAGUUCAUUUCAAAAUUUGACACUUGACCCGAGGUAAAAUUACUGUAAUGGUUAUUCUUUAGUUGGAUAACGAUGACAUGGAAAAGUACUUCAAGGAUUUUGAGUGAUUGGAAGAUAACUAUUGAGUUAAAAACAUGUGGCACACAAUAGCUAUUAGACUCUGUUUAUGAAGUCAGUUUUGAGUUGUUUAAGGAAUAUACCCUAAUAAUAUCAUAAUACUUAAAAGGACCCUACAACGGGUGUGUGCCAGAUUAAAAUAGAUCAAAUAAGAGAGAAGGAUAUACGUCAAUAACUAUGGGUGGAGAAAAACUUUAACAUGACAGUCCUAUAUGCACAUAUGGUAGGAUCACCCAUUUAAAUCAUGACACCUCGAACUCAAAUCGAGACACCUCAACGUCUAAUGUGGUGAAACAAACAAAGUGGUUGUCCAAUGAUAAGGUGUUGCGAUUUGAGUGGCUUGAGGUUCAAGGUGACAUGAUUUGAAUGGACAAUCCUACCACGUGUGCGUAUAGACCGUCAUACCGAAGCUUCUCUUAGUGGUGACACUACGUAGAUGGUUGGGUAUGUCUAACGUUGAUUCUCAAAGAUACUCUUAUUGGCAGGAGUGGUGCGAUCACGGUGAAAUAAGUUCUAGGAAAGGCAAGUGGGCAAAAAAUUGAUCAAGCUCAAUGUGAUUAUUGAUAUUUAAUUUUAUUGGAUAUUUCAGUGAGUGCAGUGGUAAAAAAUUAUCAAGAAUAGAUCUUAGUCAGUUUUAAAAAAAAAUAAAAAAUCUUCCCUUAUGGCACUAAGCCAAAUCCAUUGUUUAUCUUUCAUCUAAAAACAUCAUAUAUGAAUCUAUCAAUCAGGUUCAAAACUUUACUUACCGUAACUCUCACACUAUAAUCAUUUAUAUUACUUCAUCAAGAUCUCAAAUACGAGUAAUGUCGUUCCUACAUUAUUGAUAAUUAUAGAAUUCAUUACGUUCUUAGGUAGACCAUCACCAACAUUAUCAUCAUAACAACAGCAGCAUUACAAUGUCAGCUAAGAAGCACGGAUACACAUACGUAAUUUGGAUAUGAUACAGAUAUGCCGAUACGACUAUUUUGAAAAAAAUUAGGAUAAAUCGAUACAUGUUAUAAAAUUCAAAAUAAUUUCAUUAAUAUAAAAAAAUAUUAACACUGUCAUACAGAAGCAUGAUAAUAAAAAUAAAAUAAAAGAAUAAAGCACUUUAUAUUAAUCACUAAUGUCGAACUUCAUUUUUUUAAACAUCAUAAAUAUCAAUUUCCUCAUUAUCAUUAAAAAUAACUCUCCAUCUCUGGCUCAUCUAAUGAUAGAUUAGCAACCUUAACCCGUUCAACACCUUCAAAAAUAUCAAAUGAGUUUUCGACAAUGUCCUACAUUUUGAAUUCUCCUUUGAAUAGAGAUCUAAUUUCUUGAUAAAAGACAAAUUAUUAUGAAUGAAACCAAUUCUUCAGCUCGUAGUGGAGUUGAUUUUUUUUUACUUGAAGAGUGCACACAAGAGUACGUAUCCCAGUUUCUUUCAACACUAGAUGAACAAAAAGGUUAGACAAGAAGUUUCAAAGCAAUGUUUUGUAGUAAAGAUGCAUGUGGACCAUAAAGUAUCAAAUACAAAUCGAAAAUCAGACAAAAAUAUAAAAUAACUAAAAAAUACGUAUCAGAUAUGUAUCGAAAAUUUAAAAAAUAUAAAAUAAUUUUAAAAAAAGUAUACGGUACGUAUCAAAGCGAAUCGGAGAGUAUUGGAGCUUGAAUACGUAUCGGAUACAAGUACGUAAUAAGUUUACAAGUAUCGGUGAUUCUUAGAAUACCAAUACAAAAUUUUCAAAUGGCAACAAUAAUGAGAUUAGAAAGUUUUAGCAUAAAAAGGCCUUUCAAUGAAUGCUUACUUAGUUCCACUAGGGUUGAAUCCAAUUGAAAAGGCAGUGGUAAUCUCAUCCAUGGCAUCAUAGGCACGAUAUGUACAGCGUAGCUGCAAUUCCCAUACAAAUGGGUGGUUGGUUACUGACAAAUACACAAACAAGUAUAUAAAAGGACCAAGUUUUGGAGACUAGGAUAGAAAAAGGUGACCAUCUUAUUCUCAACUACUAAAUGAUGUGUAUUAUAAACAGUUCUAGGCUAUUGUUAAGCUUUAUUAGGAUAGAUCAGAUUCUUAAGAAAAGCACGUUAGUGAUGCACCACCUGCCCUGAGUUAGCAUCCCAGAGAUGGAUAGGAUGAUCGCGAGUAGUAGUUGCAAACACACAUAAAUCUGGAUCUGAAAUACAAACCAGAAUUCUAGUGAAUUUCUGCCUUCCAGAAUAUUUAUCAAGAUUAGUACAAGAAAAAUCAUGUCACGGAGAUGUACUUGAACCAGACAUGUGUGGGUACCAGCAAUAAUCAUAGACAGAUUCUCCCUCACGUACAACAAGGUUUGCCACAUAUGAAUCUGCAAGCAAACUAAAUGUUUUAAGGAGAUAUGUAGAAAUUUUGAAAAAAAGUAUGUCAUUAGACCAUAUUAUAUAUAACCCCAGAUGGGUCAGCAUAUAUUAAUGUUAAAUGAAAACCUCGCAGGAUUUUUAUAUAUUUCUUUCACAUACACACUUUAACAUCCUUCAUUAUAUAUUAAUCUAAAUAUUUAGCAUUCUGAACCAUUCCAGCAUAAUACUUCAGAGAACCAAUCUAAGUUGGAACAGGUUCCACAUAAGUGGCAUUCAACAUUAACAACGUUUUUUGUUCCCUCCUUCAAAAUAUCCACAUUCUAGAAAAAAUACAUGCCAGAGCGUUGAGGUGUCAUAAGUUCUCAUAUUUGAACAAUAAGUUUGGAUGCGUGGAACUGGCCUAUCAGAAAUUUAUUUCAUCUAAAUUCAAUUAAAGUUAGAAAAAAAAAAUAAAGAUCAUAAAUCAUUUGGAUGCUUGGAAGUAGACCCUUAGAAUUGAAAAAAUAAAAAUAAAAAUAAGAAAAUCCAAAUGCAAGAAUUUUUAACACAAAUGGAAGUCAGGUGCGAGUAAGAGUAAAAGAGUUACCUUCGGCUGGAGCUGAAGAGCACGUAUUUACAUAGCUAACGCUGUCAUCAUAAGGCCUGAAAGGAGGACACCAUUUGAGAAGGAUCGAAUUACAAUCUCAUAAAAAAUCAUCCAGACUUUCGCUAUUUUGAUCGAUAGACUUACAAUGUAAAAACAUGGAGAGUGUUGUCGUCACAGCAGGUUAGGAAGCAAGAGCCAUCUGGUGACCUACAAAUCAAAACCCCUAUAGAAAAUGAAUAAAAUCACAGCGAUAAUUCGUGGAAACGAGGAAAAAGGUCAAAACUGAGCAGUGAAAUUACCACUUGACACCUUUAAGAAAGUUGUUAGAGUUUGAUGAAGCAGUUCGGAAUUGCUUGAAGAAAUGGUAUGUUCUGUAAGGAUGAGCAUCGUAGUGAACCAGUGGCCAAGAGUACGCGCCAUUGGAGGGUUUUUCUGUAAAUUCAGUGGAUUCGGUAUCCGGAUUUGGCUGCUGAUGCUCCGCAUCCACCCCUUCUCCCAUUUAUCGCCGUCUGAUCCUGCAAGCGGAAGAACUGGGAUAUGAAAAUGAUGUACUCAUCCCUUGGAUUUAGAGGGUUUUAAUUCAGGAAAGCCUCCAUCCCUACUUCUAUCCGUCACCAUCCCAACUAUUUUAUUGGCACGUCUACGAGGUACCUUUGCACCCUUCGCCUAAAAAUUCAUUUUUUUAAGUCUUUGUCAAUCUCAUACUUUUUAAUAAAAUAAUAUUACACAUAAAUUUAAAAUUUUUUCCUAUUUUAAUCGCAAAUUUUUCGUCAAUUACUAUUUAAAAAUAUUUUUUUUCCUCAAAAUGGAGCUCAAACAAGGGCUCGACUUUUCAUUUAUCGGCGACUAUUAUCCCUACCAACCCAAUCCAUCCUUCUAAUUCAAAUAAGCUAAAAAGUAAGAAAAAAAAUUUAAUCGGAUUUUCACUUUAUAUUCAUCACCGAAAACAUUCCCCCAAACAAUCAAAGUCAAAUCUUUAGAUUUUUUUAGACUUGAGUCAAACUUUAAAAGUUAGCCACUUCAAUCGUUAUGUUAUCAAAUUGAGACAAAAACACGAACUAUUUUUAUGAAUUUAUUUCAACGAAAACACAACCCAUUUUGCGAUAAAUUUAUUAGUAUAUCACGUAGGGAAAAUUUCAUAACUAAGAUUUUAAGUAUCACUCAUUUCAAAACUAAAAACAAAUGUUUCAAAUUUCAUAAAUAGAUAUUUAUUAAUAUUUAUUUAUGAUUUAAUUAAUUAAAUAUAUUAAUGUCACAUAUCUAUAUAAUUUGAUCACAAACUAAUGAUUUAAUUAGUCGCGCAUUAUUUUUCGAUCACAAAUCAUAAUUUUUAUAUAUCACAAAUUAUUUUACGAUCAUAAUUUAAAAAUUUUGUAGGUAAAUAAUUUGUUCAUCAAUCAUAAAUCAAAAAAUUUAUAAGUCACAAUUUAUUUAUAGAUCACAAAUCACAAAUAUUUAAGGUUACAACUAUUAUUCGUCACAAAUUAUCAAAUUAUCAAUCACAAAUUAACAAUAUUUUAGGUCAUACAUUAUUUUCUUGAUCACAAUUUAUCUUUUCCAUUGGUCACAGAUUAACCAAUUUAACAAUCACAAUCAACCAAAUAAUUUAUGAGCUCCACCUACACUUGCGAUUAUCACCUCACCACGGUGCUACACACAUCACUGUCGUCAAACACCACCACUUUCACAAUCGAUCAACACUAUCGCACACCCUAGAUCCACUAUCAUGCCGCCAACAUCACUGCACCAUCACAAUGCACCCAUAGCACCACACUACCAUCAUACCCACCUGAGCUCUCUAUUUCCACCACCACAUCGCACACCUCCACCUCCAUCUCCACCGCACCACAGCACCUUACCACCAACACAUGCAUCACCACACCACUCAACCAACCAUAGCACCAUGGAAAGCACAUCAUCGUUGCACCCACCAGAUCUUCGUUCUCACCACCAUACCGCACACCUUCACCACCGAACCGUCAAUCACUGCACAACGCAAAAAUUUAUUAAAAAAAAGAAGGAAAGAAGAAUGGAUUUGUGGCGCCCAGAGAUCUACACCACUGACAACCAAAGCAUAAGCCGUUGUACUCGCACUGUACAUGAUGCUAUGAGCUCGUUGUUGUACAUGGCGAUGGUGAAUUUAAGCGUCGUUCAGUGGCGAUUGGAGAGCUGCGCACUGCCGGUGGAGAUAAGUCCCCAGAGUGAUAGCCUUUGUUUGAGCCACAUUGUUUGGAAAAAAAUGUAUUUUUAAACAGUAUUUUAACAUUAUUUUAACCACACAUUUCUUAAAUAUAAUAAUAUUACACGCAAAUUCAAAAUCUUUCUUUAUUUUUUAAUCACACAUUUUCUAUCAAUACAACAUUCAAAAAUGCAUGUUUUCCUCUAAAAUGGGGCUCAAACAAUGACAUAAUAAAAAAGGUUGAGAAAGAAGGAUGUGGAAAGUGAUUAGGGUUUUCAGAUUGAAAAUUGAGUUGGAUGGGUUAAUGAUUGAGGGUGUGGUAUGCAAAUUAAAUUAAUUUUAUAAUAUUAUUAUCAAUAUUAUAAUAGUUUAAUUAUAACUUGAUUUUUGAAUAAACAGUCUUUGGAUCUAAUUUUUGAAAUUGCAUCUUAAAAUAUAUGGAUAUGUGUACUUUCCACUAUAACAUAUACGAAAACAAUAAAUUAGUGAUGGACAAUCUGAUAUAGAUAAUUAAUAACAUCAUGAAGUCUAUCUUAAUCAAUUUAGAUGUUCAACCAUUACCCAAAAAAAUGUAAUAGAUCUUCUGUUCGACCCUUACGAAAACUAUAAUUUAUUUUACUCUUUUUUCUUAUCAAUCACACAUUUUCUAAUAAAGUAAUAUUAUAUGUAAAUUUAAAAAAAAAUUCACUCUUUUAACUAUUCAUUCUUCAGAAAAUUUACUAUUUCAAAGUACUUUUUUCCUAGUUUCUCAUUAUAAUGAGGGCCAAAUUAGGGUCAAGAAAUAUAUAAAUUAUCUAAAAUGAAAUGGAUUUACUCUCACCAAGCAAAUUUACAUAUACUUUUAUUAAUUCAAGGCUAAUCGCCAUUUAUUUAUAAGAGACCGUUCUCUCAUCAUACAUAUAAUGAAAAAUAAAUAUGAUUGGCAUAAUGUCGAAAACAAAUUUAAAUAAUUAUGUCUCCUGACCCAUAUGUCUUUGAAUAAUAUUACUUGUAUAUAGUGAAAUUAUAUAAUAAUUUUUAUACAAACGAGGUGUUAAAAAAGAGUGGAGAAAUUUUUUGUUAUUUGUUUGAAAUAAUUUUGACGCAAUCAUAUUUCAACACGUUAUAUGUAUGUAAAUCAUUAUAUACAUAUAUCGCAAACAUAAAUCUUUAGACAAAAUAAUGUUGAACCACUUUUGAUCCCUUGUUUGAGUUUCAUUCUUUUACAUUAUUUUUUUUUCCAGUAUUUAUUUUCAAUCAUAUUUUUCAUUAAUAUAAUAUUAUACGCAAAUAAGUUUUUUCCAUUUUUUACCACACAUUCUCCAUCAAUUACUAUUUCAUGGUACAUUACUUCGAAUUAAUGGGGCUCAAACGGGGGCUUGAGUUUCACAUGACUUAUUUGCAAGCAUAACUUUAGAAUAUCCUAAGAGCAUGUUUGGUACGUAUUAAAAUUUGAUUUUAACUUAAAUCAAAGUAAAACAAUUAAUAUUAACCACACCGAUUUUGGGUUCUACAACUUUUCAACUAGACAUUUCAAAAACUUUUAUCACAAUCACUAAAAAAAUUAGCCCUUGUUUCAUCCCCAUUUUUGGGAGAAAUAAUGUAUUUUGAAAAGUAGAUUGAUGGAGAUUGCGUGAUUAAAAAUUAAAAAAAAGUUUCGAAUUUGUAUGUAAUAUUAUUUUAUUGAAAAAUGUAUAGUUAAAAAUGAGUUUUUAAAAGAAUGAGAAUCAAACAUGACCUAUUUUUAAUCCGUACCAAACAUCACCUAAACAAUUAGUCAUUCUUCUUUCGUUGAAAAUAACGAAGGACUGACUAGAGUUCUCUAGAGAUGAGUAGCACAUGCCAAGCUAGAGAUGAGAAGAGUACUUUAAAGGCAUAUUUUCUAUUACAUAAUUUUAGAUGGUACAAUGCAUCUAAUUUAAAUUCUAUUUACUUUAAUAUUCUACUUGUCUAACACUAAAAACAUAUUUUCUAACUUUCCUUUUUAAUGCUUCUAAUUGCACGACAUAAAUUGCAAUUUUUAAUUUUAUUUGGAAAAAAUGUGAUUCUUACUGGAGAAAAGUAAUUGAGCCCCGUUCUUUUGAAAAAAAAUAUAUUUUUAAAUAAUAUUUUGACAUCAUUUUAACAACUCAUUCUUCUAUAAAAUAAUAUUACACUCAAAUUCAAAUCUUUUUUCUUAUUUUUUAACCACACAUUUCUCAUAAAUACACUAUUCAAAAAUACAUUUUUUUAUGCCGUAGGUAUCCGAACCAGCUUAUGUGCACAUUGACUAAUCUCACGAAAUCUUGAAGUUUACAGUCGGAUACUAACCUCAAUAACUUUGAGAAAACUCGAACUGAUGAACAUUGAGGGAGCAAAUCUAAAACAUGAUCACUAAACUACUCUUCUAGAUUAAAAAAGUAUUUUUAUUAAAAAAAAAAGGACUUAAAAAAGGGCUAAAGAACAAAAGAUAAAGAUAUUGAAAUCCUUCGACACUUGGUCAAUGAUAAAUUGGCUAUAUAGACUGUAUCCUAAUAUGUUUAUUUUUUAAUUUUUGGGGUCAAACAUUUCGAGGAUAUAUCUCCAACCCUUAUUUUUCUCCCUAUUUGACUAAGCCUUUGUUUGAGCCUAUUUUUCUAUCAAAAUACAUUAUUUAAAGGUGAUUUGAUAUCAUUUUAAUCACAUAUUUUCAAUAAAAUAAUAUUACAGGUAAACUCAAAAAUUUUUCUUAUUAAUAACCACACAUUUUUCAUCAUAAUACUAUUUCAAAAUACAUUUUUUGAGAAAAAUAGACCUCAAACAACCCCUAAAUAGAUUACAAAAAUGAUGUUUAUAAACAAAGAUUUUACCGGUUGAAUGUUUUACACAUAAGUCACAUAUUCCCAAAUAUCUAUCAUUUUAUGAAAUAAUCUUCUAACUCAAAACAAAAAGCAUAUUAUUCAUUUCAAAUUUUAGUAGUUUUAUGUCUCCGAAUUCACCUUUUGAGUUUCCCAAAAUGAGAGUGUCAGUUGCAAGUUACGAUAUGUUCUUUCUCUUCCUAUAGCUAAGUCAAUUCGUUGAAUUAUAGUGCUAACCGAUUAUGUUAGUUCGAUGCUGCUAUCAUACGAUGACGAAGAAUUUGAGUCAAUGCAGUCUUCGAGUAGUAAAAUUAAAUUGUCACAUUUUAUAAAUGCAAGCUGAUUUAAGCAACUUAACUUGAGCACAAAAUCUAAUUCGUUAAAUGCUUAUUCUUCAUCGUAAGUAAAACCCAGUAUAUUUCUUGAGCAGAAAAACCCAGACUACCCAGUAUAUUCCAGUUGAUUCCACGGUAAAAACUGGAUAAGGAAAGUUUAAGCAAAAAAAAAUAAAAUAAAAUAAAUCCAUUUAUUUGCAAGAUUUUAAUACAGAUACAUACUAUACAUACAUUAGAGAGAGAGAGAGAGAAGCGCAGAGAGAAAAAUCAGACAGCUUGUCCGAGUAGACUUGAGAGAGAGAAAGAGAUGGCAUCGUUCGACGCAUACAGCACGGACGGUGACGGUACGCGUCAGUUCGACGACGGCGGGUACACUGGCUACGACGAAUCAUAC